RNAcentral lists this transfer RNA (83 nucleotides) under Candidatus Carsonella ruddii HT isolate Thao2000. RNAcentral's name for it is "tRNA-Leu (TAA) (tRNA-Leu-TAA-1-1)". It matches the Rfam family "tRNA". Rfam says of the family: Transfer RNA (tRNA) molecules are approximately 80 nucleotides in length. Their secondary structure includes four short double-helical elements and three loops (D, anti-codon, and T loops). Lineage: Bacteria; Pseudomonadati; Pseudomonadota; Gammaproteobacteria; Oceanospirillales; Halomonadaceae. The record is from RNAcentral.
GCCCAUAUGGCGGAAUGGUAGACGCAAGGGACUUAAAAUCCCUAGUUUUUAUAAACGUGUCAGUUCAAGUCUGACUUUGGGUA